GUUUAUCACAUUGCUAAAGACGAAACCGAAGUACAAAGAGAAGUGGUAGAAGUUGGGGGGUGAGGCUGAUUCAUCAAAUUCCAGUUGAAUUAGUGUUUGCUUAUGCUAUGACGGGAAAUAGUGAUAUGUGGAGUUUGUGGUGUGGCAGUAAUGUCUGGAAAUAGCGUUCGAUAAAUACACGGAAGACUAGUGCAAGUUUGUAGUUACUGAGAUUCGUUUCUGUAUCGAUCUAUCAAGGCAGAGUCGUUCAGGUGUUCAAUACUGCAUUGACCUUCUGAAUGGAGUUGAUUGAGCAGUCUUCUUCAGUAGUUUGUGAUAUUCAAUCAGGUAUCGGAAUCUACUUCUUUGUUGUUGAU
Molecule: long non-coding RNA, 356 nt
Filed under: Olea europaea (common olive)
Lineage: Eukaryota; Viridiplantae; Streptophyta; Magnoliopsida; Lamiales; Oleaceae
Description: long non-coding RNA (OEUR_LNC002612)
Source: RNAcentral